This 554-nucleotide ribosomal RNA is filed under the name Bacillus subtilis. RNAcentral describes it as "bacterial SSU rRNA". It matches the Rfam family "Bacterial small subunit ribosomal RNA", at positions 555 to 1108 of the family's 1533-position model. Lineage: Bacteria; Bacillati; Bacillota; Bacilli; Caryophanales; Bacillaceae. The record is from RNAcentral.
UGGGCGUAAGGGCUCGCAGGCGGUUUCUUAAGUCUGAUGUGAAAGCCCCCGGCUCAACCGGGGAGGGUCAUUGGAAACUGGGAAACUUGAGUGCAGAAGAGGAGAGUGGAAUUCCACGUGUAGCGGUGAAAUGCGUAGAGAUGUGGAGGAACACCAGUGGCGAAGGCGACUCUCUGGUCUGUAACUGACGCUGAGGAGCGAAAGCGUGGGGAGCGAACAGGAUUAGAUACCCUGGUAGUCCACGCCGUAAACGAUGAGUGCUAAGUGUUAGGGGGUUUCCGCCCCUUAGUGCUGCAGCUAACGCAUUAAGCACUCCGCCUGGGGAGUACGGUCGCAAGACUGAAACUCAAAGGAAUUGACGGGGGCCCGCACAAGCGGUGGAGCAUGUGGUUUAAUUCGAAGCAACGCGAAGAACCUUACCAGGUCUUGACAUCCUCUGACAACCCUAGAGAUAGGGCUUUCCCUUCGGCGACAGAGUGACAGGUGGUGCAUGGUUGUCGUCAGCUCGUGUCGUGAGAUGCUGGGUUAAGUCCCGCAACGAUCGCUACCCUUGA